AAGAGCCCUGGAUCCCAGAUAUGCGUAGCCCUGAGGCCAUGCCAGGAGACCUCAGCCCAGCAGGAACUUGGAUUACAGAUAUAUUGGAAGAUCUGCAGGGAAGUGGAGUGGCAGAAAGGCGGUGGGGUAGUGUCUGUGUGGAGGAAAUCAGAAGGGAUGUCCAAGGAGGUCUGGAGCAGGGUCAGAGUGAGUGCAUC
This is a non-coding RNA of Meleagris gallopavo (turkey), 197 nucleotides long. The record is from RefSeq and is a predicted model, not a curated record. NCBI's taxonomy places the organism in Eukaryota, Metazoa, Chordata, Aves, Galliformes, Phasianidae.